Molecule: non-coding RNA, 79 nt
Filed under: Leptocylindrus danicus
Lineage: Eukaryota; Bacillariophyta; Leptocylindrophyceae; Leptocylindrales; Leptocylindraceae
Source: RNAcentral
CGCAGCAAACAGCACUCAGGCAUUAUACAUUACUUUGCGCUCUACAAAUUUGAUUUAUGGUUCAAGUUCUGGGUCUGUA